GAAGAGAGAGUCUGAGAGCUCCAGAAACACAACUUCAGGGAACUCAGCCGCUCUUUUAAAAUGAGGUCCAGAGAUCAGGAAGGCUCCAGGGAGGUGGAAGCAUCUCAACUGGUUUUGGGAAUCAGCGCAACCCAGCAGGACUUGCAAGGUGGAGAAGAGAUGUUCGAGUUCCUCCUACAGAAGACCUUGGAAGAGAUUCAUACACAAAAGAAAGAAAGCAAAAUAAUGCUUUAUGCUAUUAAGUUUUGCAUUCCAAAACCUCAAUUUUGUAAUAUGCAGCUUUAUAUGCCAAAUUUGAUGAAAAAAAGACAUGAGACAUGAAGAAAAAAGUAAAAUGGCGGACAUAAAUCCAAACCUAUGGAUAUUAACAUUAAAUAUUAAUGGAUUAAGCAACACAAAAGACACAGAUUAUCAGACAGGAUAAGAAAAACAAGAUCCAACUAUGUUACAGGAGAUACACUUUAGAUUCAAAGACAUAAAUGAGCUGAAAGUAAAAGGAUGGAAAAGAAAUAAUCAUGCAAACAACUGUAAGCACUGGAGUGGUCAUACUGACAUCAGACAAAAUAAGCUUUCAAACAGAAAUAGUUAUCAGAGAUAAGCAGGGACACUUUAUAAUAACAAAAAGGUAGUUCAUGAAGAAGAUAUAACAAUUAUAAACAUAUGUUUUUAACAGAGACCCCAAAAUACACGGGGCAGAACUGAUAUAAAUGAUGAGAAAAAUAGACCAAUAAAAAUAGUUGGCAACAUCAAUGUCACACUUGGAAUCAUGGAGAGAACAACUAGACAGGAGAUCAAAAGGGAAAUAGACAAUUUGAACAAUAAUCUAAAAUGCAAAACCUUCAUGAGUGAAAAGAUCUCCCCAUAAGUCCUUAAAAGAAAAAUAGCCUUUCGAGGGUUACACAGAGCACAGGUAAGAGGGAAAUGGGGGUUACAGGCCCACCUUGAAUACUGCUGAGCCAGGCACUCUCUGGGGAAUUUAUAGUCAUUUAUCAGAAGCUUCUGGGUCUUACGUUUCUCAUACAUAAAAUGAGGUAAAAAUGCAC
This 1043-nucleotide long non-coding RNA is filed under the name Macaca mulatta (Rhesus monkey). RNAcentral's name for it is "lncRNA (ENSMMUG00000062528.1)". The record is from RNAcentral. Lineage: Eukaryota; Metazoa; Chordata; Mammalia; Primates; Cercopithecidae.